UACGUAGGUGGCAAGCGUUGUCCGGAUUUACUGGGCUAAAGGGUGUGUAGGCGGAAUCUUAAGUAGGAAGUGAAAGGUUGGAGCUCAACUCCAACACUGCUCCCUAUACUGGGGUUCUGAGUCCCGGAGAGGAAGAUGGAACGACACGUGUAGCGGUGAAAUGCGUUGAUAUGUGUCGGAACACCAAAUGGCGAAGGCAGGUCUCUGG
RNAcentral lists this ribosomal RNA (208 nucleotides) under uncultured bacterium. RNAcentral's name for it is "partial 16S ribosomal RNA". It matches the Rfam family "Bacterial small subunit ribosomal RNA", at positions 524 to 732 of the family's 1533-position model. The record is from RNAcentral.